GUAAAGUUUUAUUCUUGCUUAGUAUAUUUAUUGUGAUGUUAUUAUACAUGUGAAUUUUUGUAAUUUGAUUAUUCUGGAGGAUAUAAUUAUAAUUGUUUAUGCAGUGUAGAGUAUUAUAAAUUCAAGUGAUUUUGAUUUAGUAAUUUUCCUUAGUGUUGAUUAAAUAUGUGCCAGCAAUCGCGGUUAUACAUUGGAUACAAGUAAAUAUGAUUAGUUGAAUAGUUAAUAUGUUGUUAGGAGGUUGAAUAAGAGAAAUUGUAAGGUGGAAUAUGCUAAUUUUUAGUGAACUUUAAUUUAAAUUUGUUGAGGCUGUGAAAUCUUAAUUUUAAACUAGGAUUAGAUACCCUAUUAUUUUUGAUGUAAAUUUUUUUUGACUUGAGUAGUAGUAGCUAUGUUCUUGAAACUUAAAGAAUUUGGCGGUAUCUUAGUCUUUUUAGAGGAAUCUGUCCCUUAAUUCGAUAGUCCGCGAAGGACCUUACUUAAUUUUUUAAUUUGUAUACCGCCGUUAUUAAAGAUUUUUUUAGAAUUAAUUUUUAGUAUUUUAUUGAAUAUUUUUCAGGUCAAGGUGCAGUUUAUAAUUGAGUGGAGAUGGAUUACAUUGUUUUAAAAUAUACGGAUUAUUUAUUUGGAUUUGGAUAUUAAGGUGGAUUUAAAGGUAAUUUUAUUAAGAAUGUUAAUGUGAUUAUAGCUCUAAGAUAUGUACAUAUCGCCCGUCAUUCUCAUUUAUUGAAGAUGAGACAAGUCGUAACAUAGUAGGUGUACCGGAAGGUGUGUCUGGAAUGAU
This 784-nucleotide non-coding RNA is filed under the name Symplocodes ridleyi. Lineage: Eukaryota; Metazoa; Arthropoda; Insecta; Blattodea; Blattellidae. The record is from RNAcentral.